Molecule: ribosomal RNA, 460 nt
Filed under: uncultured bacterium
Lineage: Bacteria
Description: partial 16S ribosomal RNA
Rfam family: Bacterial small subunit ribosomal RNA
Source: RNAcentral
CCUACGGGAGGCAGCAGUAGGGAAUCUUCGGCAAUGGACGAAAGUCUGACCGAGCAAAGUCGCGUGAGGGAUGACUGCCCUAUGAGUUGUAAACUUCGUUUAUAGAGAAGUACAACGAGGCACGUAUCCCUUUUUGCAUUUACUGUAUGAAUAAGGAUAGGCUAGCUCCAUGCCAGCAGCCGCGGUAAUACGGAGUGUACGAGCGUUAUCCGGAUUUAUUGGGUUUAAAGGGAGCGGAGAUGGGUUGUUAAGUCAGUUGUGAAAGUGUGCGGCUCAACCGGAAAAUUGCAAUUGAUACUGGCAGUCUUGAGUACAGAUGAGGGAAGCGGAAUUCGAGGUGUAGCGGUGAAAUGCGUAGAUAUAACGAAGAACACCGAUUGCGAAGGCAGCUCACUAAACUGUGACUGACAGUGAGGCUCGAAAGUGUGGGUAUCAAACAGGAUUAGAUACCCGAGUAGUC